GAUGAACGCUGGCGGCGUGCCUAAUACAUGCAAGUAGAACGCUGAAGGAGGAGCUUGCUCUUCUGGAUGAGUUGCGAACGGGUGAGUAACGCGUAGGUAACCUGCCUGGUAGCGGGGGAUAACUAUUGGAAACGAUAGCUAAUACCGCAUGACAACAGUUAUUGCAUGAUAACUGUUUAAAAGGGGCAACUGCUCCACUACCAGAUGGACCUGCGUUGUAUUAGCUAGUUGGUGAGGUAACGGCUCACCAAGGCGACGAUACAUAGCCGACCUGAGAGGGUGAUCGGCCAAACUGGGACUGAGACACGGCCCAGACUCCUACGGGAGGCAGCAGUAGGGAAUCUUCGGCAAUGGACGGAAGUCUGACCGAGCAACGCCGCGUGAGUGAAGAAGGGUUUCGGAUCGUAAAGCUCUGUUGUAAGAGAAGAACGAGUGUGAGAGUGGAAAGUUCACACUGUGACGGUAUCUUACCAGAAAGGGACGGCUAACUACGUG
RNAcentral lists this ribosomal RNA (495 nucleotides) under uncultured bacterium. RNAcentral describes it as "partial 16S ribosomal RNA". It matches the Rfam family "Bacterial small subunit ribosomal RNA", at positions 28 to 507 of the family's 1533-position model. The record is from RNAcentral.